CAGCAGCCGCGGUAAUACGAAGGGGGCUAGCGUUGCUCGGAAUGACUGGGCGUAAAGGGUGCGUAGGCGGCGAUCAAAGUCAGGCGUGAAAUUCCUGGGCUCAACCUGGGGGCUGCGCUUGAUACUUGGUUGCUUGAGUGGGGAAGAGGGUCGUGGAAUUCCCAGUGUAGAGGUGAAAUUCGUAGAUAUUGGGAAGAACACCGGUGGCGAAGGCGGCGACCUGGUCCUUGACUGACGCUGAGGCGCGAAAGCGUGGGGAGCAAACAGGAUUAGAUACCCCUGUAGUCCCUGUCUCUUAUAC
This 301-nucleotide ribosomal RNA is filed under the name uncultured bacterium. Its description in RNAcentral is "partial 16S ribosomal RNA". It matches the Rfam family "Bacterial small subunit ribosomal RNA", at positions 509 to 807 of the family's 1533-position model. The record is from RNAcentral.